GACGAACACUGGCGGCGUGCUUAACACAUGCAAGUCGAACGGAAAGGCCCUGCUUUUGUGGGGUGCUCGAGUGGCGAACGGGUGAGUAACACGUGAGUAACCUGCCCUUGACUUUGGGAUAACUUCAGGAAACUGGGGCUAAUACCGGAUAGGAGCUCCUGCUGCAUGGUGGGGGUUGGAAAGUUUCGGCGGUUGGGGAUGGACUCGCGGCUUAUCAGCUUGUUGGUGGGGUAGUGGCUUACCAAGGCUUUGACGGGUAGCCGGCCUGAGAGGGUGACCGGCCACAUUGGGACUGAGAUACGGCCCAGACUCCUACGGGAGGCAGCAGUGGGGAAUAUUGCACAAUGGGCGGAAGCCUGAUGCAGCAACGCCGCGUGCGGGAGGACGGCCUUCGGGUUGUAAACCGCCUUCGCCUGUGACGAAGCGUGAGUGACGGUAAUGGGUAAAGAAGCACCGGCUAACUACGU
Molecule: ribosomal RNA, 467 nt
Filed under: uncultured bacterium
Lineage: Bacteria
Description: partial 16S ribosomal RNA
Rfam family: Bacterial small subunit ribosomal RNA
Source: RNAcentral